UCGAGGAUCUUCGGCAAUGGGCGCAAGCCUGACCGAGCGACGCCGCGUGUGCGAUGAAGGCCUUCGGGUUGUAAAGCACUGUCGAGGGGGAGGAAAGCCCGCAAGGGUCUGACCUAUCCCUGGAGGAAGCACGGGCUAAGUUCGUGCCAGCAGCCGCGGUAAGACGAACCGUGCGAACGUUGUUCGGAUUCACUGGGCUUAAAGGGCGCGUAGGCGGGCUUGCCAGUCAGGGGUGAAAUCCUCCGGCUCAACCGGAGCAGGGCCUUUGAUACUGCAAGUCUUGAGGGAGGUAGGGGCAUGUGGAACUUCCGGUGGAGCGGUGAAAUGCGUAGAUAUCGGAAGGAACGCCGGUGGCGAAAGCGACGUGCUGGACCUCUUCUGACGCUGAGGCGCGAAAGCCAGGGGAGCAAACGGGAUUAGAUACCCCGGUAGUCC
Molecule: ribosomal RNA, 435 nt
Filed under: uncultured bacterium
Lineage: Bacteria
Description: bacterial SSU rRNA
Rfam family: Bacterial small subunit ribosomal RNA
Source: RNAcentral